This 122-nucleotide microRNA precursor is filed under the name Otolemur garnettii (small-eared galago). RNAcentral describes it as "miRNA (ENSOGAG00000028148.1)". The record is from RNAcentral. Lineage: Eukaryota; Metazoa; Chordata; Mammalia; Primates; Galagidae.
UCCACCUGCCUCGACCUCCCAGAGUGCUGGGAUUAAAGGCAUGAGACACUAUGCCCAGCAAAUUCAAGUACUUGUAGCAGUGUUUACAAAUGAGGAAUUAGUGUUGAUAAUGUUGAAAAAGG